RNAcentral lists this ribosomal RNA (513 nucleotides) under uncultured bacterium. RNAcentral's name for it is "partial 16S ribosomal RNA". It matches the Rfam family "Bacterial small subunit ribosomal RNA", at positions 28 to 523 of the family's 1533-position model. The record is from RNAcentral.
GAUGAACGCUGGCGGCGUGCCUAAUACAUGCAAGUCGAGCGAACAGAUAAGGAGCUUGCUCCUUUGACGUUAGCGGCGGACGGGUGAGUAACACGUGGGCAACCUACCUAUAAGACUGGAAUAACUCCGGGAAACCGGGGCUAAUGCCGGAUAAUAUUUAGAACCGCAUGGUUCUAAAGUGAAAGAUGGUUUUACUAUCACUUAUAGAUGGACCCGCGCCGUAUUAGCUAGUUGGUGGGGUAAUGGCUUACCAAGGCAACGAUACGUAGCCGACCUGAGAGGGUGAUCGGCCACACUGGAACUGAGACACGGUCCAGACUCCUACGGGAGGCAGCAGUAGGAAAUCUUCCGCAAUGGGCGAAAGCCUGACGGAGCAACGCCGCGUGAGUGAUGAAGGUCUUCGGAUCGUAAAACUCUGUUAUUAGGGAAGAACAAAUGUGUAAGUAACUGUGCACGUCUUGACGGUACCUAAUCAGAAAGCCACGGCUAACUACGUGCCAGCAGCCGCAGUAA